This 68-nucleotide transfer RNA is filed under the name Neotrogla sp. 5 KY-2017. RNAcentral's name for it is "tRNA-Lys". It matches the Rfam family "tRNA". Rfam says of the family: Transfer RNA (tRNA) molecules are approximately 80 nucleotides in length. Their secondary structure includes four short double-helical elements and three loops (D, anti-codon, and T loops). Lineage: Eukaryota; Metazoa; Arthropoda; Insecta; Psocodea; Prionoglarididae. The record is from RNAcentral.
CAUUAGAUGGCUGAAAAAAGCAUUGAUCUCUUAAAUCAAAUUAUAGUAAUAAACCCUACUUCUAAUGA